GACGAACGCUGGCGGCGUGCCUAAUACAUGCAAGUUGAGCGCUGAAGGUUGGUACUUGUACCAACUGGAUGAGCAGCGAACGGGUGAGUAACGCGUGGGGAAUCUGCCUUUGAGCGGGGGACAACAUUUGGAAACGAAUGCUAAUACCGCAUAAAAACUUUAAACACAAGUUUUAAGUUUGAAAGAUGCAAUUGCAUCACUCAAAGAUGAUCCCGCGUUGUAUUAGCUAGUUGGUGAGGUAAAGGCUCACCAAGGCGAUGAUACAUAGCCGACCUGGGAGGGUGAUCGGCCACAUUGGGACUGGGACACGGCCCAAACUCCUACGGGAGGCAGCAGUAGGGAAUCUUCGGCAAUGGACGGAAGUCUGACCGAGCAACGCCGCGGGAGUGAAGAGGGUUUUCGGAUCGUAAAACUCUGUUGGUAGAGAAGAACGUUGGGGAGAGUGGAAAGCUCAUCAAGUGACGGUAACUACCCAGAAAGGGACGGCUAACUACGUG
RNAcentral lists this ribosomal RNA (497 nucleotides) under uncultured bacterium. RNAcentral's name for it is "partial 16S ribosomal RNA". It matches the Rfam family "Bacterial small subunit ribosomal RNA", at positions 28 to 507 of the family's 1533-position model. The record is from RNAcentral.